GAUGAACGCUGGCGGCGUGCCUAAUACAUGCAAGUCGAGCGAACGGACGAGAAGCUUGCUUCUCUGAUGUUAGCGGCGGACGGGUGAGUAACACGUGGAUAACCUACCUAUAAGACUGGGAUAACUUCGGGAAACCGGAGCUAAUACCGGAUAAUAUUUUGAACCGCAUGGUUCAAAAGUGAAAGACGGUCUUGCUGUCACUUAUAGAUGGAUCCGCGCUGCAUUAGCUAGUUGGUAAGGUAACGGCUUACCAAGGCAACGAUGCAUAGCCGACCUGAGAGGGUGAUCGGCCACACUGGGACUGAGACACGGUCCAGACUCCUACGGGAGGCAGCAGUAGGGAAUCUUCCGCAAUGGGCGAAAGCCUGACGGAGCAACGCCGCGUGAGUGAUGAAGGUCUUCGGAUCGUAAAACUCUGUUAUUAGGGAAGAACAUAUGUGUAAGUAACUGUGCACAUCUUGACGGUACCUAAUCAGAAAGCCACGGCUAACUACGUGCCAGCAGCCGCGGUAAUACGUAGGUGGCAAGCGUUAUCCGGAAUUAUUGGGCGUAAAACGCGCGUAGGCGGUUUUUUAAGUCUGAUGUGAAAGCCCACGGCUCAACCGUGGAGGGUCAUUGGAAACUGGAAAACUUGAGUGCAGAAGAGGAAAGUGGAAUUCCAUGUGUAGCGGUGAAAUGCGCAGAGAUAUGGAGGAACACCAGUGGCGAAGGCGACUUUCUGGUCUGUAACUGACGCUGAUGUGCGAAAGCGUGGGGAUCAAACAGGAUUAGAUACCCUGGUAGUCCACGCCGUAAACGAUGAGUGCUAAGUGUUAGGGGGUUUCCGCCCCUUAGUGCUGCAGCUAACGCAUUAAGCACUCCGCCUGGGGAGUACGACCGCAAGGUUGAAACUCAAAGGAAUUGACGGGGACCCGCACAAGCGGUGGAGCAUGUGGUUUAAUUCGAAGCAACGCGAAGAACCUUACCAAAUCUUGACAUCCUUUGACAACUCUAGAGAUAGAGCUUUCCCCUUCGGGGGACAAAGUGACAGGUGGUGCAUGGUUGUCGUCAGCUCGUGUCGUGAGAUGUUGGGUUAAGUCCCGCAACGAGCGCAACCCUCAAGCUUAGUUGCCAUCAUUAAGUUGGGCACUCUAAGUUGACUGCCGGUGACAAACCGGAGGAAGGUGGGGAUGACGUCAAAUCAUCAUGCCCCUUAUGAUUUGGGCUACACACGUGCUACAAUGGACAAUACAAAGGGCAGCGAAACCGCGAGGUCAAGCAAAUCCCAUAAAGUUGUUCUCAGUUCGGAUUGUAGUCUGCAACUCGACUACAUGAAGCUGGAAUCGCUAGUAAUCGUAGAUCAGCAUGCUACGGUGAAUACGUUCCCGGGUCU
Molecule: ribosomal RNA, 1372 nt
Filed under: uncultured bacterium
Lineage: Bacteria
Description: bacterial SSU rRNA
Rfam family: Bacterial small subunit ribosomal RNA
Source: RNAcentral